AUAUAGCUGUCGAAGGUAGUAGCUUGUCUCUAUAUAUGUCGGUGUGUAAGGGUAGCCAUUUGGGUUGACCUUAGUUUUACUAAAUAGAAUAUAUAUCAAACGUUAACGUAGUAUAUAUAGAAACCAUAUAUUAUUAUUUUGAAGAGUAAAGUUUUGAUUAAAUAUUGUUCAACCGACAAACAAUUUAUACGCGGAUCAUAUGGGUUGGUAAACAUUAUUUCUACUAAAUUAUAUCCCUAUGUGUGAAAAGCAAGAUAGGGGUAGUGUAGAAAGUGGACUCCAUGUCAUGUGACCCAAGAAAGAAUCUCCUCUCAUCCUUACGUAUAUAAGGACCCCAUGAAAACUAAUGCAUGCCCAUAUCAAUUAUCUCUCUCUCAUAUAUGAAAAGUUGAGGGGAAUGUCGUCUGGUUCGAGAUCAUUCAUGCAAAGUAUAAGCUCAUCUGAAUGAUUUCGGACCAGGCUUCAUUCCCCUCAACACAGCUAGAGAAACUUCUAUCUAUGAUGUUCACCAUUAAUCAGGAUGAUAAGAAUUAUUAAUGUUCGAUCUAACGGUAAGCAGAGGAGGAACAGCUAGCUAGCUAGCUAGCCAGAAACUGGAAAUCAGAGCAGGCAUAUAUGCACCAGGUCAAGGUGGGUAACAUUUUAUUAAUUAAUUAAUUAAUGUUCAAUCUCUUUCCAUGUGUUUCGCCUAAUUUGUUGACGAAAAGAACAGAAAAAAAGAAAAAAGCUGCAUUAAUUAGUGUGAACAUCUGACUGCAAGGUUAUUUUGGUCUUCCUUUAUCUUUUGGUUUGUUUAUUUUAAGAUGGGUACUGAUAGUCUGAUAGUAACUGUUUAUUCAUGCCAAACUGUUUCGACAAGGUGGGUCAAAUAAUAAAAACUCUUGUGGGUCAACUUGAUCUACACGAAGAAACUAAAACGACUACAAAUCUCAACGUAUUCAUGAUCAUAUCAGAUCUACAUGUGAAGCUCAUAAUUUCAGGUGGGUCAGGUUUGCUGGAGGGUUGUCAUAUGUUUAGAGCUAGCAACUGUAGCUAUACCCACACACAUGCAAUAUUUGACAAUGUGCAGACAUAGGACUUCUUUAUCGAUAUCUGUUGGUGAAAUUAUUGUAUUAUAUGGUUGUGAUUUUCAUGUUGAAAGUAAGGUUGAAAAUUUGGUAUCAAAGUACUUCUUUUAAUUUUGGGGUCUGAUAAGACAUGGGAGGCCGGCUGGAGAUUUGAGAUGAAAGAUUAGAAAGAAGAAUACACUAGCUAGGGGUAGCAAUUACCAGUAGGGUCUUGUCUGCAUAUAUAUAUAUAUAUAGCUGCAUGCUGGCUUUGUGUCUAGAUUAGCUAGGGUUAAUUAUCAUCUUAUAAUAUAUCUUUUUAUUCUUCUUCUUUGAGCUCAUCUCCUUCAACUGAUCAUCUUUCAUUCAAAUCAUAAUAUGUAUUAAUAACAGCAUUUAGUGUGACUGGCUAUGUUACUUUUUUUUUAAUCAUGCACAUAUAUAUAUAUCUCACAUGACACAUGCACUGUUAGCAUAUAAAAGAAUAUUCAUGGAAAUCUAUCAAUCGAUGUCAAACACUUACCAUGAAUCAUUUUAUUGAAACACAGUGAUUCCUCAAUGCCUCUCAUUGGAUCAUGCCUGUGGUUUUUCACAAGGUUUGAAUCUGCUAUAUGUAUAUAUUAGCCAUCAAAGAGAAUAUAUAACAAUUAAGCUACUUCAAGAUUGUAUAAUUGAUCCAAGCAAUCUAUAAGUUAUAUUUCAUUUCGGUUUGUAGACACGUGUGUGACUUGACCCAUCAAGUUGGUAGGGUCCAACAGCAAAUAUUACUCAAUUUAGUACUCCUUUUUGGAGGAGAGGAUUUAUUUCAUUGACCGACUUGUAUUUGGUCUUUGACAGCCGACUUAGUAUUUUAUAAAAAAAAAAAGGGAGUCACACUUUUAAUUUUGUGUUGUAUUGCACGUGAAUUUUGGUCUUCAUGUGUGUGAUUAUUUUGUCUUAUUCACCGUAAUUAUGGUCUUUUUUGCAUAACACGAUUGAUUGAUUGAAUUUUAUUUUAUUUUAUUAUGAAGCCUUAAAUUUGAGAUAUGUGGGGAAGUAGAGAAUGAAAACUUUGAUGAAAAAAAGAAAAGAAAAAAAGGAAAUGACGAUGCGCUUCUAAAUUUUUAAACCGAAAACAAAAUUACUAUGCUUAACCAUGCAUUGCUAUUUCAAUUGGUUUGUUGCCUUCUAUGUAUACAAGAUAAGUUGCAGUCUCUGUUUGGUACUAUAAAUUUUAUUAUAACCUCAUUGAAACUGAGAUGAUAGUUCUAGUGUAUAGUUGAUAAGUUAAUCAUUAACUAGUCAAAUUUUUUAAUUAAUAAUUUCACCAAUUACGAACUGACAUGUUAAUUUGUAAAAACUUUAUAGUAAAGAGAAAUGAUUUGUGAGUCCCACAAAUCGAAUGAUUAAUUUGUAACAACAAAUGUACACUAGAUAAAGGUCUAUAUAGUAAAAGAAGCAAGGGCCCCUAACAACUCUCUUUGUUUAUCAACGUACU
RNAcentral lists this precursor RNA (2523 nucleotides) under Betula luminifera. RNAcentral describes it as "precursor microRNA MIR166b". The stretch from base 388 to 476 matches the Rfam family "mir-166 microRNA precursor family". Lineage: Eukaryota; Viridiplantae; Streptophyta; Magnoliopsida; Fagales; Betulaceae. The record is from RNAcentral.